CCGACUUUCUCCCUCUUCUUUUCGUGUGUAUUCGGGCCCUUGCCAGGCGCCUCUUCAUGUGUGGCGCUUAUGAUCAUGCGGAUGGACAGCAGCGACGGAGUGGGGCUGCGUGAUGGUGCGCGAGAGCUCGACGACGAUGAUGAGUACCGACACAUACCUACCCUCCCGUCCGCCACGCACAGAUACGCGUAGGCGUGCGAACAAACUAAGACCAAAGAACGAGGUGAGAGCGUCAAGAGAAAAGGCGGAGGCCGGAAUAGCCAAGGCCCCCUUCAUCGACGCAUAUGUUACUUUCGGUGUAAUGCGGUCCCGACAGAGCACUCCGCCGCUGCUGCAGGCCGAGCAGAUCCGCUGCAUACACACAAUCGCAUGUGCGCUCUGGGUGUUUCCAUGACCUUUGCUGUCGUUGGUCAACCACUGCGUGCCGCUCUUGCGCUGCCAUGAUACCACCUCUCUCUCCUCACUUCCUUUCUUCCAAGCUGCGUAUUACUGGCCUUUGCGUUCGUCUCUAUCAACUUCCCCCUCUCUACCCUUCCGUUGCACCGUCCGCUGCAUCGCGCCGGAGUAGCGGCUACCAGUGAGGUGGAGCACAUAGAGAGAGGCUUAUACCUCAGUGACCAUCACCCCCUGCCGGCUCCACGACAGACGCGACCGCUUCCGCCCUCGAGCAGGACGCUGGGCGCGGCUCUCUUGGAUCAAGGCAUGCGGUCCACCCAUGUGCGUGUGUCGCCGAUGGCGCGGCAUGCGUGCGAGGAAGGGACGAGCAAGGGCAGGAGGAUCCUGCUAGAUGCAUGGUCCGAUUCGACGGCAGACUGCUCGUCCUGGCCGACUCGGAUGUAGCCGCAGUGCGACAUAGGGGCGGGGUGAAAAUAGAAAAAAAAUGUUUUCGUUGCACGCCGACUGCUAGGCUUGCCGCCUCCAUCAGCUCGCUCGCGAACCGCUGAUCUCCCUUCCUCUUCUACCUUACUUUACACACCUUUCUUCUCUCUCCCUUCUCUCCUUCAG
Molecule: unclassified non-coding RNA, 1005 nt
Filed under: Leishmania donovani
Lineage: Eukaryota; Euglenozoa; Kinetoplastea; Trypanosomatida; Trypanosomatidae
Description: gene:unknown
Source: RNAcentral